This 253-nucleotide ribosomal RNA is filed under the name uncultured bacterium. RNAcentral describes it as "partial 16S ribosomal RNA". It matches the Rfam family "Bacterial small subunit ribosomal RNA", at positions 524 to 776 of the family's 1533-position model. The record is from RNAcentral.
UACGUAGGGUGCGAGCGUUAAUCGGAAUUACUGGGCGUAAAGCGUGCGCAGGCGGUGAUGUAAGACAGAUGUGAAAUCCCCGGGCUCAACCUGGGAACUGCAUUUGUGACUGCAUCGCUGGAGUACGGCAGAGGGGGAUGGAAUUCCACGUGUAGCAGUGAAAUGCGUAGAGAUGUGGAGGAACACCGAUGGCGAAGGCAGCCCCCUGGGACCUGACUGACGCUCAUGUACGAAAGCGUGGGGAGCAAACAGG